CCCUUAGAUGUUCUGGGCCGCACGCGCGCUACACUGAUGCACUCAACGAGUCUCACCUUGACCGAAAGGUCCGGGAAAUCUUCGAACUUGCAUCGUGAUGGGGAUAGAUUAUUGCAACUAUUAAUCUUCAACGAGGAAUGCCUAGUAAGCGCAAGUCAUCAGCUUGCGUUGAUUACGUCCCUGCCCUUUGUACACACCGCCCGUCGCUCCUACCGAUUGAAUGGUCCGGUGAAGCGUUCGGACCGUGGCCUUUGGACGGUUCGCCGUCUGUUGGCUGCGGGAAGUUCGUUAAACCUUAUCAUUUAGAGGAAGGAGAAGUCGUAACA
Molecule: ribosomal RNA, 326 nt
Filed under: uncultured eukaryote
Lineage: Eukaryota
Description: partial 18S ribosomal RNA
Rfam family: Eukaryotic small subunit ribosomal RNA
Source: RNAcentral